This 468-nucleotide ribosomal RNA is filed under the name uncultured bacterium. Its description in RNAcentral is "partial 16S ribosomal RNA". It matches the Rfam family "Bacterial small subunit ribosomal RNA", at positions 28 to 507 of the family's 1533-position model. The record is from RNAcentral.
GACGAACGCUGGCGGCGUGCUUAACACAUGCAAGUCGAACGGAAAGGCCCUGCUUUCGUGGGGUGCUCGAGUGGCGAACGGGUGAGUAACACGUGAGUAACCUGCCCUUGACUUUGGGAUAACUUCAGGAAACUGGGGCUAAUACCGGAUAGGAGCUCCUGCUGCAUGGUGGGGGUUGGAAAGUUUCGGCGGUUGGGGAUGGACUCGCGGCUUAUCAGCUUGUUGGUGGGGUAGUGGCUUACCAAGGCUUUGACGGGUAGCCGGCCUGAGAGGGUGACCGGCCACAUUGGGACUGAGAUACGGCCCAGACUCCUACGGGAGGCAGCAGUGGGGAAUAUUGCACAAUGGGCGGAAGCCUGAUGCAACAACGCCGCGUGCGGGAUGACGGCCUUCGGGUUGUAAACCGCUUUCGCCUGUGACGAAGCGUGAGUGACGGUAAUGGGUAAAGAAGCACCGGCUAACUACGUG